This 187-nucleotide unclassified non-coding RNA is filed under the name rhizosphere metagenome. Its description in RNAcentral is "partial ribosomal RNA internal transcribed spacer region". The record is from RNAcentral.
GUAGGUGAACCUGCGGAAGGAUCAUUGCAAAAAAGGGGGUUGUGUUAGUUGAGAUGACAUCAAGACUAGUUGCCCUGAAAGCACAGGAAAUCCGAUUUGGAUUUCUCUGAUGUUUGCGCUUGUAUUGUUUGACAUUUAUAUCAGUUAAUUAUUAAUAAAACUUUCAACAAUGGAACUCUUGGCUCUU